This 488-nucleotide ribosomal RNA is filed under the name Bacillus subtilis. Its description in RNAcentral is "bacterial SSU rRNA". It matches the Rfam family "Bacterial small subunit ribosomal RNA", at positions 16 to 487 of the family's 1533-position model. Lineage: Bacteria; Bacillati; Bacillota; Bacilli; Caryophanales; Bacillaceae. The record is from RNAcentral.
AUCCUGGCUCAGGACGAACGCUGGCGGCGUGCCUAAUACAUGCAAGUCGAGCGGACAGAUGGGAGCUUGCUCCCUGAUGUUAGCGGCGGACGGGUGAGUAACACGUGGGUAACCUGCCUGUAAGACUGGGAUAACUCCGGGAAACCGGGGCUAAUACCGGAUGGUUGUUUGAACCGCAUGGUUCAAACAUAAAAGGUGGCUUCGGCUACCACUUACAGAUGGACCCGCGGCGCAUUAGCUAGUUGGUGAGGUAAYGGCUCACCAAGGCAACGAUGCGUAGCCGACCUGAGAGGGUGAUCGGCCACACUGGGACUGAGACACGGCCCAGACUCCUACGGGAGGCAGCAGUAGGGAAUCUUCCGCAAUGGACGAAAGUCUGACGGAGCAACGCCGCGUGAGUGAUGAAGGUUUUCGGAUCGUAAAGCUCUGUUGUUAGGGAAGAACAAGUACCGUUCRAAUAGGGCGGUACCUKACGGUACCWACCAGAA